AGCGAACGCUGGCGGCAGGCUUAACACAUGCAAGUCGAGCGGGCCCUUCGGGGUCAGCGGCGGACGGGUGAGUAACGCGUGGGAACGUGCCUUCUGGUUCGGAAUAACUCAGGGAAACUUGAGCUAAUACCGGAUACGCCCUUUUGGGGAAAGGUUUACUGCCGGACGAUCGGCCCGCGUCUGAUUAGCUAGUUGGUGGGGUAACGGCCUACCAAGGCGACGAUCAGUAGCUGGUCUGAGAGGAUGAUCAGCCACACUGGGACUGAGACACGGCCCAGACUCCUACGGGAGGCAGCAGUGGGGAAUAUUGGACAAUGGGCGCAAGCCUGAUCCAGCCAUGCCGCGUGAGUGAUGAAGGAGUUAGGGUUGUAAAGCUCUUUUAUCCGGGACGAUAAUGACGGUACCGGAGGAAUAAGCCCCGGCUAACUUCGUG
This 433-nucleotide ribosomal RNA is filed under the name uncultured bacterium. RNAcentral describes it as "partial 16S ribosomal RNA". It matches the Rfam family "Bacterial small subunit ribosomal RNA", at positions 29 to 507 of the family's 1533-position model. The record is from RNAcentral.